RNAcentral lists this ribosomal RNA (543 nucleotides) under uncultured bacterium. Its description in RNAcentral is "bacterial SSU rRNA". It matches the Rfam family "Bacterial small subunit ribosomal RNA", at positions 355 to 896 of the family's 1533-position model. The record is from RNAcentral.
UGGGGAAUAUUGCACAAUGGGCGAAAGCCUGAUGCAGCGACGCCGCGUGAGGGAUGGAGGCCUUCGGGUUGUAAACCUCUUUCGCUCAUGGUCAAGCCGCAACUGUGGGUUGUGGUGAGGGUAGUGGGUAAAGAAGCGCCGGCUAACUACGUGCCAGCAGCCGCGGUAAUACGUAGGGCGCGAGCGUUGUCCGGAAUUAUUGGGCGUAAAGGGCUUGUAGGCGGUUGGUCGCGUCUGCCGUGAAAUUCUCUGGCUUAACUGGGGGCGUGCGGUGGGUACGGGCUGACUUGAGUGCGGUAGGGGAGACUGGAACUCCUGGUGUAGCGGUGGAAUGCGCAGAUAUCAGGAAGAACACCGGUGGCGAAAGCGGCUCUCUGGCUUGUAACUGACGCUGAGGCUCGGAAGCGUGGGGAGCAAACAGGAUUAGAUACCCUGGUAGUCCACGCCGUAAACGAUGAGUGCUAGGUGUUAGACCCUUUCCGGGGUUUAGUGCCGCAGCUAACGCAUUAAGCACUCCGCCUGGGGAGUACGACCGCAAGGUUG